UUGAAGCUGAGAUUAUUGAAAAGAAAUGAAGAGGCUUUAUAUGUGCAUUCUAUAUAAUAACUCUAUCAUUUGUGUGUGCAAUAAACAAAAGAAGCAAUAACCGUGUAAUCACUCGUUACUAUCCUCCUCUCCACAC
This 136-nucleotide non-coding RNA is filed under the name Skeletonema marinoi. Lineage: Eukaryota; Bacillariophyta; Thalassiosirophyceae; Thalassiosirales; Thalassiosiraceae. The record is from RNAcentral.